UGCACCCCGCUGACUAGCGGCGGACGGGUGAGUAAUGCAUAGGAAACUGCCCAGUAGUGGGGGAUAGCCCGGGGAAACCCGGAUUAAUACCGCGUACGCCCUUCGGGGGAAAGCAGGGGAUCUUCGGACCUUGCGCUAUUGGAUGUGCCUAUGUCGGAUUAGCUAGUUGGUGGGGUAAAGGCCUACCANGGCGACGAUCCGUAGCUGGUCUGAGAGGAUGAUCAGCCACAUCGGGACUGAGACACGGCCCGAACUCCUACGGGAGGCAGCAGUGGGGAAUAUUGGACAAUGGGGGCAACCCUGAUCCAGCCAUGCCGCGUGUGUGAAGAAGGCUUUCNGGUUGUAAAGCACUUUCAGUGAGGAGGAAAACUCUGCGACUAAUACUCGUAGGGCUUGACGUU
This 401-nucleotide ribosomal RNA is filed under the name Marinobacter sp. 14-3_(MB)_121mbsf. RNAcentral describes it as "bacterial SSU rRNA". It matches the Rfam family "Bacterial small subunit ribosomal RNA", at positions 79 to 476 of the family's 1533-position model. The record is from RNAcentral. Lineage: Bacteria; Pseudomonadati; Pseudomonadota; Gammaproteobacteria; Pseudomonadales; Marinobacteraceae.